RNAcentral lists this long non-coding RNA (314 nucleotides) under Chrysemys picta bellii (western painted turtle). Its description in RNAcentral is "lncRNA (ENSCPBG00000024643.1)". Lineage: Eukaryota; Metazoa; Chordata; Testudines; Emydidae. The record is from RNAcentral.
CACAGCUGGCCCCAUCACCGCCUCCGAGUCGCCGCUCGGUCACCCAGCGCUCAGCUCCCUGGAGCUGCAGCAUCGUGCGUGUGCUGGAGCCUGAGAGACUUUGCACAACAACUUCGCCCUGGAAAUUUGGCAGCUCCAAGGACAGCAGAGUGGUUCAGAUUCCUUCCCCACACAAAGGGGGGGCAAGGACAAGGAGAACCCUAGGGAGCAGGGAGCUGAAAGCAAUUCUGGAGCAUCAGUGCCACUGCCUAAUGGCCUCAGGGCCCUGACUCAGCACAGCUGCCCUGACAGCGGCACGCUGGAGAGGAAGGUGG